GGACUACCGGGGUAUCUAAUCCUGUUUGCUACCCACGCUUUCGUGCCUCAGUGUCAGUAUGGGUCCAGGAGGCCGCCUUCGCCACCGGUGUUCCUUCCGAAAUCUACGCAUUUCACCGCUACGCCGGAAAUUCCACCUCCCUCUACCCUACUCAAGUCAACCAGUAUGAAAUGACCUCCCCAGGUUAAGCCCGGGACUUUCACACCUCACUUAGUCAACCACCUACGCACCCUUUACGCCCAGUAAUUCCGAUUAACGCUUGCACCCUCUGUAUUACCGCGGCUGCUGGCAC
Molecule: ribosomal RNA, 292 nt
Filed under: uncultured bacterium
Lineage: Bacteria
Description: partial 16S ribosomal RNA
Source: RNAcentral